GCGGACGUGGCGGAACUGGUAGACGCAAGGGACUUAAAAUCCCUCGGGCAACGCCCGUGCGGGUUCGAUCCCCGCCGUCCGCACCA
This 86-nucleotide transfer RNA is filed under the name Nitratireductor thuwali. Its description in RNAcentral is "Nitratireductor sp. 1536 tRNA-Leu". It matches the Rfam family "tRNA". From Rfam's summary of the family: Transfer RNA (tRNA) molecules are approximately 80 nucleotides in length. Their secondary structure includes four short double-helical elements and three loops (D, anti-codon, and T loops). The record is from RNAcentral. Lineage: Bacteria; Pseudomonadati; Pseudomonadota; Alphaproteobacteria; Hyphomicrobiales; Phyllobacteriaceae.